This 254-nucleotide ribosomal RNA is filed under the name uncultured bacterium. Its description in RNAcentral is "partial 16S ribosomal RNA". It matches the Rfam family "Bacterial small subunit ribosomal RNA", at positions 524 to 776 of the family's 1533-position model. The record is from RNAcentral.
UACAGAGGGGGCAAGCGUUGUUCGGAAUUACUGGGCGUAAAGGGCGCGUAGGCGGCCGCCUAAGUCAGACGUGAAAUCCCUCGGCUCAACCGGGGAACUGCGUCUGAUACUGGAUGGCUUGAGGUCGGGAGAGGGAUGCGGAAUUCCAGGUGUAGCGGUGAAAUGCGUAGAUAUCUGGAGGAACACCGGUGGCGAAGGCGGCAUCCUGGACCAAUUCUGACGCUGAGUGAGCGAAAGCCAGGGGAGCAAACGGG